AAUGAACAUGCAGAGCACAGAGGAUUUUUAGGAUAUUUAUUUAUACAUUUGUCCAAACCCCUAGAACACGUGAAAGAGCACACUAAAUAAUCAUAUAUCUUCUCUUCACCAAAGACUUGGAGACAAGGUUCUUCGGGUCAGCACAGAGGCAAUGGUACAUGCAGUGAGUAGCAGGUCUCAGCAUGGAUUUCUUCACAAGCAUCUCCAGUACAGGCCUGGACAAUCUUCUUCAGAUGAGCAACAAGAUCCUCUGGUUCUUAAUCAUCAAUAUACUCAAAUGGUUCUGGAGGUUCUGGCUCUUGUUCUUCUUCCUCGAUUUUUGGGCCAUGGGCUGUUCUUCAAUGUCUUCACUGGUAUCCUUCAGGAUAAUGAUGCCUCCAAUGGAAAAUGGUUUGAAAGGCUGGUAUCUACAGGUCUCUGGCAUGGUCAGGACCUUAAGCUGGGCAGGCAUAACUCGGGCUGGAUUAUCCAAUAACUGGAAGUUUGGCUCAGGUUCUUUUUUCUUCUCUUUUUCUUCCUUUUUCUCUGCUUCAUCCACUUCCAUUUUCUCCUCCUCUUUUUUCUCUUUCUCUUUUUCCAGAUCCUAUUCUUAUUUUGUACUUUGAAAGAUUCGAAAAAAAAAAAAAAAAAAAAAAGAAAGAUUCGUGUGCUCUAAAGUACAGUCUUUGGACCUCCUUACUUGUCAACUACCUGACUCUGUUAGUGAUCUACUCCUGUCCCAUUACUCUGAAUAUUAUUAAGUUGAUAUCUUGCAGUAUUUUCCCAGGCCCAACAUUUCCCUGAACUGCUGUCCCUUGGUUUCUAAGUAGGCAUCGAUCCUUGAGGACUGAGCAUCAGCCGCACUGACCCCCUUGCAUGUAGUUGAGCAGACCAUGCAAGCUUCCACUGUGGGAUAUUUCUAUUUCUUCUCUCUGCCUGCAAUGUUCCCCUCGUUACCCCUUUUAUAGUCAGGGAAGGUUUACUUACCUUUGAUCUUUUACAUUAUUACUUCAUCCAAAAGUGUCCUCCUGAAUCACCUUCAAUACAGUACCCAGCCAUAGCACGUCUAGACCCCAUCCUCAUGUCCGUUAAGAAGAUCAAUGUGGUGUCCGUGUCUCGAGUGUAGCUCUCCUCCCUGGCUGAACCCUAGGAGACCUUUGUAGGGGAGGAAGAGAGGUGGUUUUGGAGUCCUAUAAUCACUUUCUUACUUACAACCUACCUGAGAUGUUAUCUUAGACAAGUUGCUUGGUUGAUUCUCCAUGUAAAUGAAGACAGCAAUAUCCAAUAUGUUCAGACGGUACUUGGCCUGAUGUGUUAGCCAUUAUAGAAAACACACAAAAGAAAAUAAAAAUUCCAAAUCAUCUUAGUUAGAUUUGUUUUUUGGUAACCAAGCCAUAUAAUUAGAAUUAUUUUAGUAAAUUUAUAGCUUAACAAUUUUAUUACUUAGUACUUUGCACUGAGCUGAAAAUUGGAGUUACCUGUUCUAAAAAUGGGGGGGAGGUAAAAAAAUUGCAUUUUCUUUUAAUUGUCAUCUUAUUUUUUUUUAAUGAGAUAUAAUUGGCAUACAAUAUUAUAUUAGUUUCAGGUGUACAACAUAAUGAUUCAAUAUUUGUAUAUCUUACAAAAGAAUCACCACAAUAUGUCUAGGUAAUAUCUGUCAACCAUACAUAGUUACAGAAUUUUUUUCUUUAUGAGAAUUUUUAUGAUUUACUCUCUUAGCGACUUUCAACCAUGCCCUACAGGUUUAUCAACUACAGCUGCCGUGCUGUACAGUACAGCUCUAUUAUUUACUUUAUAGCUGGACGUUUGUCCCUUUGGACUCCUUUCAGCCACUUUGCACCCCAAAUGCACCCCAACUGCCUGCCUUCUGGCCACCACUAAUUUGUUCUCUGUAUCAGUGACUUUAGAUUUUUUUUAAAAAAUUCUAUAUAUAAGUGAGAUCAUCCUGUAUUUGUCUUUCUCUGUCUGACUUAUUUCACUUAGCCUAAUGCCCUCAAGGUCCAACCAGGCUGUAGCAAAUGAUAGGAUUUCAUCCUUUUUUAAUGGUCAAAUAAUAUUCUACUGUGUAUUUACCACAUCUCCCUUAUCCAUUCAUUCAUCCAGGCUGAAUGGGUGUUUCCAUAUCUUGGCUACUGUAAAUACUUCUGCAAAGAACAUGGGCUGCAUAUAUUUUUUCAAGUUAGUGUUUUGAUUUCUUUGCAUAAAUAGCUGAAAGUGGAGUUACUAGAUCAUAUGGUAGCUCUAUUUUUAUUUUUUGAGAAGCCUCAAACAAGUUUUGUCAAAACAAACAAGGUUUGAGAAAACUUUGUGUUCCAUAGUAGCUGCACCUGUUUGCAUUCCCACCAACAGUGCCCAAGGGCUCCCUUUUCUCUACAUCCUCACCUACACUUGUUAUUUCUUGUCUUUUUGAUAAUAGUCAUUCAAACAGGUAUGAGGUGAUAUCUCAUUGUGGUUUUGAUCGGCAUUUCCCUGAUAAUUAGUAAUAUUAAGCAUUUUUUUCACGUACCUAUUAGCCAUCUGUAUGUCCUUGGAAAAAUGUCUAUUCAGAUCCUCUGCCCAACAAUCCUUAGAUUGUUGUGGGGUUUUAUUUGUUUGUUUGUUGUUGGGUUGUAUGAAUUCUUAUAUGUCUUGGAUAUUAACCUCUUAUCAGCUAUAUGGUUUGUAAAAAUUUUUCCAUUCUAUCGGUUGCCUUUUCAUUAUAUUUUAUGAUUUCCUUUGCCACGUAGAAGCUUUUAGGUUUGAUGUAGUCCCACUUGUUUAUUUUUGCUUUUGUUACCUUUGCUUUUUAUGUCAAAUCCAAAAAAAAAAACAAAACAAAACAAAACAUUGCCAAGACCUAUGUCAAGGAGCUAACCACAUAUGCUUUCUUCUAGGAGCUUUAUGGUCAUCUAUUGUGUUGUUUUACUUUUGAUUCAUUCACUUUCAAGUCCUCUAGUCUCUAACAACCCCUCAGUCUUUAUUCAUUCACUCAUAUAGUCAUUUUCUUUAAUUAGGUAACUGCCACAAUGAAGAGAUUAAGCUUUUUGGUUUCAUAUAUAAAAAUAUUUCUUUUCUGUCCUAAGUCUGAUAUUUUCUUUUAUUGCAACCUAUAAAAUUCCCAACGUGUAUAUUUCUUACCAGCCCAGUGUAGGCUUCAGAUAAAGCUAAAAUGCUUCACAAUUAUCUAAAACUAAAGGAUACAGUAUUCAAAAGCAUUGGUACAGAGUGGUGAUUUUAUAUUCCUUUUUCCUUUUAACCCUGGCACAAAUAUUUUAAAAGUUGACUUGCAUAGUAUUCAGGAUUGGUAAUCCCACUAAUAACAUUAUGCAGAUGUAGAAACACAGACAGCCAAAAAGGAAAAAUAAAAUUAACAAAGCAAGUGAAAAUGCAUUUUUUUCUUUCUUUUCUUUUCUUUUUCUUUUCUUUUCUUUUCUUUUCUUUUCUUUUCUUUUCUUUUCUUUUCUUUUUUAAUGUGGAGGAAGGCUGUUGUGGAACACAUGUGUGAAGCUCCCAGCAUCAUUAUAUCUAGAAGUGCCCAUGUAUUUAGUAUAUAUGAAUUUUUUUUAAAGGAAACCAGAGAUAAUAGUCUUAGGAUAUUGAAAAUUCUGUACCAGCACUUCUCUUUCCACAUGAGCCAAAUUGUUCCACUACUUUGUUGCAAUCCCACUAUUUAUCCUCUUUCUCAUUUCCAUUUAUCUAAGCAUUUUCUAAACAUGCCUCAAAAUCCUUUUUUCAAAUCUGUAUUUCACUGUGGCUAUUUCAACCUAGGGUCCUUUCCCUGUACCAAAGACUUUUACCCAGUAGUUCUCUACUACAAAAAGUACAUCCUCAAUCAUGACAGCCUCAGACCAAACAGAGUUCUUGUUUCUGUGAGAUAAUAAAAUAGCCUAGAUAAAGCAAAAAAUGGAGAUUUAGAAUGUCCCUAGCAAAUUUCUAAUAAAAUGUCCAGUUAAUUAAAGUCUUAUCUCUGAACUUAAUUCAUUAGAUAGGUAAUUUAAAAUUUCAAAAGACACAAUUAAGACAAUUGCAGUUGGGCCUUACUUACCCAAAUAGUUAAAGCUUACUCUCUUUAAGUCCAUAUAUCCUUCAGACCAGAUAUUAUUGGGGACCUGAAAGUCAGAUCACAAAUGAUAGCUAAGGUCAAGCUAAAAAAAAAAAUUGUGUAAGAACAUCAGAAAUACAGAUUUUCUAUUCCCCUCUUUACUGAUUGAAUAAAGAAAACAUAGCCCAGUUACAUCUCAGCAUAUCAGAUACCCACCAAGAGGUCUUCAAUAAAUAUCCAAUUGCCCUUAGAAAACCAUAUACAUUUUCAUAGACAAUCAGAGGGCACCCGGGUGGUUCAGUCAGUUAAGCAUCUUCCUUUGGCUCAGGUCAUGAUUCCAGGGUUCUGGGAUCGAGACCUGAGUAGGGUCCCGCUCAGUGAGGAGUAUGCAGUUCCCCCUGCUUGUGCUCUCUUUCUCUCUCUCUCUGUCAAAUAAAAAAAUAAAAUCUAAAAAAAGAAAGAAAGAAAACAUAAUUAAGUAAAAAUAGAUCUUUUAAUUUUAAUCACCUUGUUUAAAUUCCUUCAUUACUGUUUGAGUGCAAAUACUAUUAUUUCCAAAAUUCAAAUUUCAAUAAUUAUUUUAGUAAUAAAAAAUUUUCCUCAUUCAAAUUAGCAUCACCAGAAAAUAAAUCCUUUUAUUCUAAGGAAUAUAUCUGAUUAGACUUAAUUUUAGUUCUCAAUUUUCUCUCCAGUUUAUUGAUUAAAGUUCCUAACCUAACUAGAUCUAUUAUGCCUAUUAAAAAUGUAUCAAAACAAAAAUUAUGUAAGCCCUAACCCAUAUUUUUUUUAGUGCAACUGCAUACAUAGCUAUUUUAUUCUGUCUUUAAUACAAUCCCAACCCAAAGUAGUUAUGUAAUCUUAAGGUUAAACUUUGACCAAAUCUGAGUAGGAAACAUGCUUAUAAAUUUUUGAAAAAAUAUUUUCAAUUCAGUAAAUGUAUUUCUCCUAUCUAAAUGGCAUUGCAAUUCCCAAUACCCUCUCCCAUCCAGAAAUAUAUCACAAAACAGUUUGAAGCUAAUUUUCUCUAUUUCACCAGCCCCCCCUGGGUAUCCAGCCCAGUUUCCAUCUUGUGGUUAAAGGAUUACUGGUCCCUUCUUCAGAAAUUGUGUUCGAGCUGGUGGGAGUGGGAGGUGGCCCCUAGAUUCUUCUUCAUUUAAAAAGGAAAGUGAUAAGGAGCCCUAUUUUAAAUACAAAAUGCAAAAACAUGGAAAUUCAUCUAUUACAUUGAUAUCCUUUUAAUACUAGAAUUUGCUAUUCAUGUAAUCUUACAAGCUUUUUCCUUUAUUACUAAUAAAUGCCCUUUGAAAGAUACAGCCUCUUCACUCCUGUAGCUAAAACUGUUGAAAUCAUGCAAUUCCUAAUUGCAUGAAAAAUGUUAUUUUAGAGCUUAAAAAAAUUAAUCCUUAUUCACAAUAUAUUAUCAUUUAAUAAGUCUAGUGCAGUCUGGAAACACUCAAUUUUGCACACACUAAUAUCCUAUAUAGUUGGCAUAAUUAAUACUAAUGGUUUUAUUCAAUUAAUAUUUGCUGAGUGUUUACUAGG
This 5542-nucleotide long non-coding RNA is filed under the name Canis lupus familiaris (dog). RNAcentral's name for it is "lncRNA (ENSCAFG00030004482.1)". Lineage: Eukaryota; Metazoa; Chordata; Mammalia; Carnivora; Canidae. The record is from RNAcentral.